AGUUUUUCCAAAAAGUGUCUUAUGAAAUUGUGGAAUAAGAAAUAAUUCAUGAAACAUAAUUUACACAGUUUUUCCAAAAAGUCUCUAAUAAAAUUGUGGAAUAAAAAAAGGGAAUAUAUCAAUCCAUUGGUUCUACUUCCAUGUCAGUGACGGGUCUGGCGAUAUUAUUUAUUGGCCUCGCAAUGUCAUUUAAUGAAUUAAGGAGCGCGGAAUAUGCUGAGCUUCUUUACUGUGCGUUUAGGUUUCACACUCUUUAUAGCGGAUUCGCUUGUCUUCCAGGGAAUCGCACUAACACCUUUGUCAAACUCUAGGUUUUGACGCAAAGCAUACUCCGAAGUUCCGGAGCGUACCAAUAUGCCUAGAUGAGUUAAGGAACUGGAACAUAUCUUGGCUUUACACUCCACAUUAAGCAGCCUCCUAUUGCGUCGCAUCUGGAGUUAAACC
Molecule: long non-coding RNA, 444 nt
Organism: Drosophila innubila
Lineage: Eukaryota; Metazoa; Arthropoda; Insecta; Diptera; Drosophilidae
Exons: 3
Source: RefSeq, a predicted model, not a curated record